This is a non-coding RNA of Danio rerio (zebrafish), 117 nucleotides long. NCBI's taxonomy places the organism in Eukaryota, Metazoa, Chordata, Actinopteri, Cypriniformes, Danionidae. The record is from Rfam.
GGCCACAGCCAUAUCACCCUGCAGCCCAUGACCGGUGACUCACUGAAGCUAAGCAGGGCUGAGCCUGGUCAGUACCUGGAUGGGAGACCACUAGGGUACACUAGGUUGCUGUUGGAA